CACUCAGUAAGGAAAAAAACAAAAUUCUAACACCUCUCUCCAUUGUCCCUGCUCCACUACUAACAACCUCUCCACUCUCAUUCCACUCUCUCACAAAACCCACUCUCAGAUUCUCUCUCUGCUCUCACCUACAAAAUCCACACUCACCGCUACUCUCCCUCUCACACAAAAACCCUUCCUAAAAAUGAAAAAGAAAAGAAAAACUGAAAUCCUUUUCACUCUCUCGAUCCCAAAAACCCUUUCUCUUCCAUCAAAAUCGUCUCUCAAAAUCGCCACCAACACACUCAAAUCCUCUCCUCUUCGGUCUCACUCUCAAAUCCACAAAACCCAAGCCGCUUCCUCAUCGUCACCUCAAAUCCGCGAGCUCGCACGCCAUUAACCCUUCAUCAACCAAACCCCCCAAAUCCGUCUUCGACCACCUUCAAAUCGCGUCCCUCAAACCCUCGAACGCUACCUUCAUUCAACCCACCAGCUGAAACCCAAUCGCGAGCUCCACCGCCACGAGCUCAAGCUCGCCGCCGCCACCAACUGAAACCCCUUCUUCCAUCCGUCUUCAACCUCAUCACCACUGUCAAACCUCCACCUCUUCAGUAACCCACGCCGUUAACCCACAACCUCACCACUACGGCGAAGACCCCGUGACCCACCUCUCAACUAUUCCUGUAGCUUUUUUUAAUUUUUGUUUAAAUUGAUUUGCUGAAAAUGUGUUGCUUCUGGAAUUAUUGGAUGUUUACAGGGAAAGUUUGAAGUCCAUCAUUGAGAGCUUUAGAGCCGUGGGUAUGUUAGGUGAAUGAUCGAUUUCAAGUGAUUUCUGCUGUUACCCUGUGAUUCUGCUACGAACCACUCACUUCUUCCGCCGCCGCUUCAACCGUCGAGGAGCCGAAUCGCCCCAACAACACCGAGCAAAUCGCUUCAUACCAUUUUCACGAUUUCAGUUUGUUGUAUUGUUGCUGCUUAAAUUUCUCACCACUUGCAUAUGGUCCUAAACCUUAGUUGUGUUAACACUUUGAAAUCAACGUUUGAGUACUUUAAAACUUUGGCAAAUUGAAUAGAAUAUUGAAUAGAAUAUGUUUAACUGA
Lathyrus oleraceus (garden pea) is the source of this 1079-nucleotide long non-coding RNA. RefSeq lists it as uncharacterized. The record is from RefSeq and is a predicted model, not a curated record. The transcript is spliced from 2 exons. NCBI's taxonomy places the organism in Eukaryota, Viridiplantae, Streptophyta, Magnoliopsida, Fabales, Fabaceae.